This 864-nucleotide long non-coding RNA is filed under the name Fukomys damarensis (Damara mole-rat). RNAcentral's name for it is "lncRNA (ENSFDAG00000029114.1)". Lineage: Eukaryota; Metazoa; Chordata; Mammalia; Rodentia; Bathyergidae. The record is from RNAcentral.
AUUUGAGGAAAGUGGGGGGACAGGCAGAAAAAUGUUCUGAGUCUCAGCAGACAGCUCAGAUGAGAGUGUGCAAGGAGGGCAGCUGGUCCUCUCUGGGGAUGGUGGGAGGCUGCCAGUGCGCAGGGUGGAGGGCCUGCCUUGAAGGAAUUCUUUGCUAAAUCUGUGUGUGAGUGUGUGCGGCCAUGCUCUUGCUGGGCGGUUUCUACAGAGGGGCUUGUGGCAGAGCUCCUGCCUGUUGCCCCUCUGCCCCCUCUCCCCCUGAGAGUUCCUUUGUUGGUCACUUGCAUGCGGUUGUGGAGGGUGUCGUCCUCUCCUCCCCACCUCUGAAGUGAGAUGCGUAUGAUUCCUUUCUGUUCCGGGAGUGCCUGACUGCUUGGGCAAAUGGACUCAGAGAAGGGACCAGCGGGGGCAUUAGGGGAGCUGGCUCCCAGGGUGACAGUGGGGUGACCCAGGCCAUCAUCUCCCAAGUCCCUCCUUAGGCAGAGGGUUUUUAAUAGAAGAGUGUAAAGCAAGGGUGUUGGCUUGGAAGAUCCUCACGCCUGGGGCCCAGGCAGAUCUGAUGCCUCUGUUCUCUGCUUAUACUUUGUGUCUGUAUCCGGUCAUUAUUCACCUGCCCAUCUCUUUGCAGGCUUUGUGUUCUUCCCCGGGUGGGAGGCCAGGAUCCACACCCACCCUCAUCCGGUCCCGAACUGUCUGGCCAGCUCACUAUGGAUGUGAAGCAAGAGGAGUGAGGCUGGGAUCUCCGGCAGUGCUUAUUUUAAAAUGGGAAAAAAUAAAAAUCUGAACGAAGAAAAAGCCAUCCAUCAUCCCGCUACCUGAAAACACGAUGUUUUUGGACAGCUAUUUAUUGAGCACCUAUUGUGC